GGAGAGGUAGCUCAGCAGGUAGAGCAAAUGCACGGAAGAUUCUGAAAAAUAUUACCUUGAUUUAUAUAAAGAGUGCCGUAGAAAAGGCCUACUUCGGUUUAAUUUGGUUCGACUCCAGAAGGUCAUGGAAAUGAUCUUGUAUAAGUCUUUUCGAGUCUUGCCUCUUUUAUUUUAAAAACAAACAAGUGCCGUAGAAAAAUGUUACUUCGCUCAUCACGACGGGGUCGCGGGUUCGAGUCCCGCCUCUUCCA
RNAcentral lists this transfer RNA (251 nucleotides) under Chryseobacterium sediminis. Its description in RNAcentral is "tRNA-OTHER". The record is from RNAcentral. Lineage: Bacteria; Pseudomonadati; Bacteroidota; Flavobacteriia; Flavobacteriales; Weeksellaceae.